CACCAAUCACGGGGGUCAUCUCCUGCGCAAGCUUUGGAUGAACUUCUGCUUCUGCGGUCGGCAUUCUUACAGGAGAACCCAAGAUUCAUUGUACCUACCUGUAUGCAUUUCAAAACUGAAUAAUUGAUAGCAACAAGUAAAUAUUUGAAGUUGCAGCCAAAUGCUGUGCCUUCUCUGCUGCAAGAGCUACAUGUCACCAUUGAAGCAAGGACCAGCUCGACUCCUGCAGUAGGAGUCCAGCCUCGUCCAGUCGUCGCCGCUCGCCAAGACCAGCCGGACUCCUGCAAUAGGGGUCCAGGCUGACCCGUUCGUCCAGUAACCGCCGCUCGUCAGCACCAGCUGGGCUCCUGUAGUAGGGGUCCAGCCUCGUCCAGUCGCCGCCGCUCGCCAAGACCAGCUGGGCUCCUGUAGUAUGGGGCUAGGAUGGCCCGUUCAUCAACCGGUCCUGAAGUCACAUCGCCGUCAGCCAGCCGAACUCAGUACAUAAGUCACCAACCCUGAAUGUUGCCAGCCAAAGUCGGCAGUUUCCUUCGGACAGUCAUCUCACCAGUGUUGUACAGUGUACGAGGUUAGUGACGCAGUUAAAUGCGUCAAUUAAAUGCGAGGACGUGCGCUUGUAUGCAGCGUUUUGUCAUGUUGAGCUGCAUGGGUGUCGAUUUUCACCGAAUUGAGGGUGCCCACUGCCCGGGCGCAGCAAAUCCGCCGCUGCCUUAGCGGUGACCUUGACCCGCACCGUCUGUUGGGGCUCCAAAGCCAAGCCAGCCGAGCCGGCGGGGAAUCUAAAGAGCUUGAGCACCCCCAACCCGGCGGAAAUUGACACCUAUGUUGAGCUGUAUGGAUGCGUUUUAGCCUUCCGCCGUGGUGGUAAAUAGCAGCCUACAUGCAGAAUUAGGCAGGCUUAUUAGCGGACUCAUUAUUGGAUUCAUUGUGUCACGUUUGUCGGCACGUGUAAGAUGUGCUUAACUGCCAUUAGCUCUCGGCCUGGCGACUUCUGGGGACCACGUAAUGGGGAU
This is a long non-coding RNA of Amphibalanus amphitrite, 1013 nucleotides long. RefSeq lists it as uncharacterized. The transcript has 3 exons. Lineage: Eukaryota; Metazoa; Arthropoda; Thecostraca; Balanomorpha; Balanidae. The record is from RefSeq and is a predicted model, not a curated record.